UACAGAGGGCCCAAGCGUUGUUCGGAUUUACUGGGCGUAAAGGGUGCGUAGGUGGUGGGGCAAGUUCGAUGUGAAAGCUCCGAGCUUAACUCGGAAAUUGCAUUGAAAACUGCCUUGCUAGAGGGUUGGAGGGGGGACUGGAAUUCUCGGUGUAGCAGUGAAAUGCGUAGAUAUCGAGAGGAACACCAGUGGCGAAGGCGAGUCCCUGGACAACUCCUGACACUGAGGCACGAAAGCUAGGGGAGCAAACAGG
RNAcentral lists this ribosomal RNA (253 nucleotides) under uncultured bacterium. Its description in RNAcentral is "partial 16S ribosomal RNA". It matches the Rfam family "Bacterial small subunit ribosomal RNA", at positions 524 to 776 of the family's 1533-position model. The record is from RNAcentral.